Macrobrachium nipponense is the source of this 297-nucleotide long non-coding RNA. RefSeq lists it as uncharacterized. The transcript has 3 exons. The record is from RefSeq and is a predicted model, not a curated record. Lineage: Eukaryota; Metazoa; Arthropoda; Malacostraca; Decapoda; Palaemonidae.
ACAUACUGUCCUUUAAUAUUAAUUCUUCAUUCCAGACUGCCCAUCAUCCUAGCCUGUUAUCUGUGAUAAAGCACACUGAAGUUAGGUUUGGAAUGCAUCCUUAUCAUGAAUGCUCUACACCUCCACCUCCAUCUCCCACAACCUAGGUAACAGCUUUGAGACUCACUAAAAGUUGAACCCCCUGAAUGAUGUAGGCUAUGGGGCCACAUAAGACUUUGUCCAUCCAGGGUUACAUUGAACGACAACUUUAAACUAAAAAACCAACAUUUUUCACACAACUCCAGGUUGUACUAACAA